UGGGUGAUCUGCCCUGCACGUUCGGGAUAAGCCGUAGGGAAACGUGGGUCUAAUACCGGAUAGGAGCCAUUUUUAGUGUGAUGGUUGGAAAGUUUUUUCGGUGUAGGAUGAGCUCGCGGCCUAUCAGCUUGUUGGUGGGGUAAUGGCCUACCAAGGCGUCGACGGGUAGCCGGCCUGCGAGGGUGUACGGCCACAUUGGGACUGAGAUACGGCCCAG
RNAcentral lists this ribosomal RNA (217 nucleotides) under uncultured Actinomycetales bacterium. Its description in RNAcentral is "partial 16S ribosomal RNA". It matches the Rfam family "Bacterial small subunit ribosomal RNA", at positions 118 to 334 of the family's 1533-position model. Lineage: Bacteria; Bacillati; Actinomycetota; Actinomycetes; Actinomycetales. The record is from RNAcentral.